GUGUAGCCUUCAUUGAUUCAAGAUCUACCAUACCAUUCUCUCACUAGAAGAGAAAACCUAUAAUGGCAGCAAGCCAUAAAAGAGACCCAGUUUGGGAAUAUUUUAAUGAAGUUCCUCUACCUGUGAGUAAGACAGGCAUGCAUGUAAAACGCAAACAUUGCAACAAAGAAAUGCAGGGCCUGGUUGCCAGAAACAAACAACAUCAUGAGAAGUGUUCCUUCUCAGGAGGAAGCUGCACUGAAGAUGAUGAAAGGAACAUCUCUGAACAUGCAGAAUCUUCAGGAGAAUCCAUCCUCAACAUACAGGAUUCUGAAGACUAUCGACCUUCAAGAUCACCAUAAUUUUCAAUCGUUUCAGAGUUAUCUGCCAAUAACAGUGUUUCAGUCACAUUAUGCAUAUCACAUAGCCACAGUAUAUCACCUGUAGCAAAAAGAACAAAAAAAAUCCCCAUCAUCCACAAACAACCAUAGAUAAAUUUGUGAUAAGAACCAGCAGAUUACAAAAAGAAGUAAUUGAUGAAAAAAUUGCCCAGGUUGUUUAUGAAACAAACUCUCCUUUCUGUAUGAUUGAGAAUCCACACUUCAUUAAAUGGUUCAGUCAUUAAGACCAGGAUACUGUCCACCCAACAGAGCAGAUGUCGCAAGCAAACUGCUGGAUGAAGUGCAUGAAAGAGAAAUUGAGCAGUGUGCAAAAGGUAAAAUUGUUAACGUGAGUUGACGGGUGGAGCAAUGUCCAUAAUGAUCCUGUUGUACAUGCUUGUGUGACAACAGAAGAAGGGAAUGUCUUCCUUAUAGGAACAAUUGCUAUGUCAGGAAAUGCACACACAGCAGAAUACUUACAAGCAGCAGCAGUAAAAGCUAUAACAAACUGUGACAAAAAUUUCAAAUGUCCAGUAUGCAGCUUGGUCACAGACAAUGCUGCAAAUGUAUCAAAGAUGAGAAGAAAUUAUUUAGAAGAGAGUGAAGAGAGUCCCAAGCUAAUAACAUACGGUUGCGGUGCUCAUUUGAUGCACCUCCUAGCCAAAGACGUCAGUUUUCCAGAAAAAAAAGGCUAAUGUUGUUGAAAUUGCAAAAUACUUCCGUAACAACCACUUUGCAGCAGCUGCUCUGAAAAAAGUGAGAGGAACCAAGCUAACUUUCCCACAAGACAUGCAAUGGAACUCAGUAGUGGACUGUUUUGAGAACUAUAUCAAGAACUGACCUAAUCUGGUGACAGCUUGUGAAGAAAAUCAUGAAAAAAUAGAUGGCACUGUCACAGCCAAAGUUCUCAACAUUGGGCUUAAGAGAAAUCUUGAACACAUGCUCAGUACCCUGAAGCUUAUUUCUGUAGCCUUGAACAAAAUGCAGGGAAAUAGCAGUUUUAUUGCUAACGCUGCUGAAAUCUGGAAGGAACUGAGUAAGAUCUUAAAAAGAAAAAUAUGCAAUAACAGAGUUAAAUUACAAGCAUUAAAAAAAUGAAUGGGACAAGCACUAUCUCCAGCUCAUCUUCUUGCAAAUAUUCUCAAUACUCGGUACCAGGGUCACACCUUAACUGCUGAAGAAGAGGAGUUGGCUAUGACAUGGACAUCCAGCAAUCAUCCCUCCAUAAUGUAAACUAGAAUCAACUUCAGAGCUAAGGGUGAACCAUUCAAGAAAUAUAUGUUUGCUGAUGAUGUUUUAAAGGAAGUCACACCAGUGAACUGGUGGAAGUCACUUAAGCACCUGGAUUCAGAAACUGUUGAAGUGAAAAUCUCACUUUUAACAGCAGUUGCUUCUUCUGUCGGUGUAGAAAGAAUAUUUUCUUCCUGUGGACUAAUUCAUUGCAAAUUGAGAAAUCGUUUGGGACCCGAAAACACAGGAAAGCUUGUUUUUCUUUUCCAGAUUAUGAACAAACAGGAAAAUGAAGGUGAAGACGACUGAAUUAGUUGCAGAAGCCAAUAUUUUAAGUUUCUCAUGUUGACCUGGCUGACACAGUUGAUUUAAUUGUUUGGGGUUUUUUUUUUUAAUUUCAUUUAACUAUUUUAGUUAAAAACAAUUUUAACAAAAACAAACCUGAUUUUAAAAAAUCUGGAUGUUUAACUAAAUUCAAAAAUUCUUAUGCUUGUUUUGUUAAAAUAUUAUAAGUUUGCUGUUGAAGAAAAAAAAUCCAGAAUACAUAUCAUUGUUGUUUUAGUUAAAUACAACAACUUAAAUAUCUGUCUGGUGUUCUCCUAAUAGAGCAUGGCAAGAAAAUCCUCCAAUAUUAACGAUUAACCUGUUGAAUUGGAAAUAGCUCACCUCCCAGUGACUUCAUAAAUAUAUGCUUCAAUUACCUUUGGUAAAUGAAAUAACCAAACAAUCAUUUAUUUUCUGAUAUAGCUGUUAAAUUAAUCUGAAAACUUUUCAAAAUAAAUCACUUUAAAAAUGUAUAGUGUGCACCUUUUAAAUAUAAAACCUACAUCUAUCGCUGA
Long non-coding RNA from Gopherus flavomarginatus (Mexican gopher tortoise), 2428 nucleotides. RefSeq lists it as uncharacterized. Lineage: Eukaryota; Metazoa; Chordata; Testudines; Testudinidae. The record is from RefSeq and is a predicted model, not a curated record. The transcript has 2 exons.